RNAcentral lists this transfer RNA (72 nucleotides) under Nocardioides sp. RNAcentral's name for it is "tRNA-Gln". It matches the Rfam family "tRNA". Rfam says of the family: Transfer RNA (tRNA) molecules are approximately 80 nucleotides in length. Their secondary structure includes four short double-helical elements and three loops (D, anti-codon, and T loops). Further hydrogen bonds mediate the characteristic L-shaped molecular structure. tRNAs have two regions of fundamental functional importance: the anti-codon, which is responsible for specific mRNA codon recognition, and the 3' end, to which the tRNAs corresponding amino acid is attached (by aminoacyl-tRNA synthetases). tRNAs cope with the degeneracy of the genetic code in two manners: having more than one tRNA (with a specific anti-codon) for a particular amino acid; and 'wobble' base-pairing, i.e. permitting non-standard base-pairing at the 3rd anti-codon position. The record is from RNAcentral. Lineage: Bacteria; Bacillati; Actinomycetota; Actinomycetes; Propionibacteriales; Nocardioidaceae. RNAcentral also lists the same sequence under 8 other names.
UGGGAUAUGGUGUAAUUGGCAGCACGACUGGUUCUGGUCCAGUUAGUCAAGGUUCGAGUCCUUGUAUCCCAG